Long non-coding RNA from Hyla sarda, 3998 nucleotides. RefSeq lists it as uncharacterized. The record is from RefSeq and is a predicted model, not a curated record. NCBI's taxonomy places the organism in Eukaryota, Metazoa, Chordata, Amphibia, Anura, Hylidae. The transcript has 3 exons.
GCGUGGUAACAAUGAGGAAAAUAUAAUAAGGGAAAUACAAAGAACCAACUGAGUGCCGGAUGACUGGCGACUACAGCCGCCACACCCCCUUCAUUCAUGUCUAUGGGAGGAGGUGUGAAGACUACUAUGUAGCCGUCAUGCUUCCUCCCAUAGAUAUGAAUGGAGGGGGAGUGAACGGGGAAGUUUCAAGCUUCUGUGUUCCGGACACCACCACUGCCGGCUCGGAGAUAAAGAUAGGGCUGGCAGGGGGAUAAGGGAUAAGAUGCCUGAUCACUGGGGGCCCCGCCUUCCCCAGCAGUGGGCCCCCCGCAAUCAGGCAUCUUAUCCCCUAUCCUUUGUUUUCCGACAGAGUACCCCUUUAAGAGUGCAGCUCUGUAUUCAGACAGAAACUGAUUCUAAAGGAGAAAACUUUAUUUUACUUAGCUGCAGAUUUUUUAUGCAGAAUCUCCACCAAAAAUCCACAGCAGAUCUACCACAUGUGAACGCAUUGCCUUAUGCUUCUUCUCAGUUUUUGCAUGCACUUUGUUUUGUUUUUUUCUGAAAAAGAUGGAUCAGAAGCAAUCACUAUGGCUACGUGAAGAGAAGACAUGGAAUUGAGCAACCUUAGGCAGUUACCUAGCUAGUAACCAGAAGUAACAUAGACUCCACUGAAAGAACUGACCUUCUAAAACAUACCCUAUAUUUGUAUGUUAAAAAGUUGUUUAAACAUAAAACAUGUAACUUAGUCAUUUGUUGAUGGGUCAGGUCCAUCAGGGCAUCAUGGACAUCAUAGAGAGUGUUCCUUUCUCUAUGAUGUCUGUAUUUCCUUAGCUUGGGAAAUGGUAAAUCAUUUGGAGCUCAUAUAAAUGGUCAUCAAAAACUAUUGACUAAGACACUGAACAGACCGAGCACUGUGUAUAAGCAGACAGCUGUCAAUCAGCAGCUGGUGGGCGGAGGGAGCAGGUCCUCAUGAACACUGAGGAAACCAAGCAUGCACACGUAAUGGAGAGGACUUGUGUGCAGUGAUCGGUGUCUUCAAUAUUCAAGAGUUUAUCAGGAUAAUGGCUGCGCAGAAUAAUGUAGAUAUUGCAUCAUUCUGUUUAUCAUCUCAGUCACUAGUUAAUACUGCCUUCUAGAGAAUCCCUUUAAGUAUCUACUAACCUUUGUUACUGAUUGUCUCCAUUACUUUACUUCCACGCAAAAAAUGGGAAACAGUUCAGCCGUAUACAAAAGCCAACCAAAUACAAUGUUUUUGCCUCAUUUUUUUUUCUCAAAGAAUUUCAAGUAUUAGUAUGAUUUUCAUGUGCCCAGUCUACUUACUUCUCAGGAUCUACAAAAGUAAAAAUUAAGACAUUUUUAUUAUGAGUCUCAGACUAAAAAUGAAUGCAUGGAAUGAAUUUUCAUAUGCAGAAAUUUUUCAUAUGAAUCAGUUGCUGGCGACCUUUGCACAACUCCAGUUCCCUAAAACCCUAAGUUAUGUAUGGGAUGAAUGUUACUCUAAUGCUACACUGUAAAAAGUCACUAAUGGCCUUGCUAUAGUAAAGAACGGGUAAACCCAUAUAUUUCCUUAUCUAUUUUUUGCACAUGAUUUUUCACCUGCUGUCUUAAGUGCCUAGGCAAUAUUUGACUUUCAUGAGAGGACUUGUUUAAAGAACCUUUAUAUGAGAGUACGCCUUUUGCUUUUUCUGUGCAACCCAUUAUUUGCCUUCUGAAUGACAAUGCAUGAAGAAAUACAGUCAAUAACAAUUACAAUGACAAAAUAGUUAGAUAUUGAUGUAUUUUUAGCCAAAAUGUGCCAAUUUUGGAGUGCGUUACUUCAGCAGCUUUGGUGGCCAUGCAUGGUCACACUUUGGAGCUACUUCACACCACCACACACCCUAUCUCAAGUAUGAGAAAGCUUGUACCUGUUUACUUACAUCUCUUCUAGAAGACAGCAGCAACAUCUUCUGACUGGAUUACCCCCUUAUUUAUUCACUUGUUGCAUCUAAGUUUGAAGUUGGAGUUUUGCUUAUGUUCUAAUCAUCUACAGGGAACCAGGAAGGGGCCAACUUGAAAAAAAGGUCCCACCUCCUACUCCAUGGGCCCCCAUGGCAGCUGCUUGGUCUGCCAUUGUCCUCAUCCCAAUGGGAAGCAUGUCCUUAGCAGAUCUUUCAACCUUUAUGCAUGAAUAUUAGUGGUAGCACACAAAUAAACAAUUGAAAUGUCCCUGUACCAUGUUUAAGGUACACGGCCUACUGAUCCAUAAUGGGGUAAGGUGAGAUCAUUUUAGCCUUUUGAAAUGGGGCCUCCUAUAGAAAUCCGGUUGCCAAGCACACUACUAGAAAUGUACCUGCCAAAUAAUUCUGUCAAUGAUUAUGACAGUCAAACAAAGGAUUCCACUAUGCUGAACCUAGUUUCACCAGCAGAUACUGGACAGAUUGGCCCCAAAUUUAUAUGAUUUUUAUCAGAUUUUUUUAAUAUCAUUUGGACCUCAAGUCAAGUUACUAAACAGCUAUGCUUUAUAAUACCUUGUUACUGGGGAGAAUGGGUUAGUGCUAUUUAUUUUUGCCCCGGAGGCCUUCUGCAAAACCUAAUCCAGUUCUAUAACGGUUCAUCGGAUUACUGUAUAAUGACUUGGGAAAGCCUUACAUCUCCUCCAGUCUGCAAAACUCAAGGAACUGCCAAAAAUGAUGAGUAAAACAUGUAAUGUAACUUGAGAUCAUCAUCGUGUAAAGUGAAUGUAAUGUUUCCUGUACAAUAAAUCCACUAUUUUACAGACCCUGUAUUUCAAAGUCUCCUGUGCAUAAACAAAUCUGCAUGACCUUGGGUAUUGUUCCCACUAAACUCUGUUCUCUGGCAAUGAGGUAAAAUGCCAACCCCUCCAGACAGGCAUUGCUGUCAUUGAGCUUGUUUUUCUCAUUUUAUUGUUGUUUUUACUCUCUGUUCCAGAGGGUACAGGUUAGGGUGAAUACUCGCUCAAGCAGAUCCUGGUUUCCUUAUGCGUUCCACCGAUACAGGAAGUGACAUCGGUGAAACGCACGGCUGGUCAGGUGACCUGGUGUUUGCCGGACGUCACGUGAGCGGAGGAGAACGAACCAUGUGACCUUACUGGAAGCAUGGGGAAACGCCGGGCCCGGGAUGGAGUGCGGAAAAAGACGAGAAACAUACGAGGAUGUAGAUUUGCUGACAAGUGAGGAACCAAUGAUGUCCGGGCCUCAGACUCUGCAGAGGGAGAUGUAGCUGGAAGAAGACACAGCAUCUUAACCAAAUGAAGAAGAAAUGAAAACGGAAGACAACAAAGAAGAUGUCUCCUGAGAGUCAUCAUACCACUGUGUAUUCUGCCUGACAGGGGAAACUGUACCCCAAUAUGUGGCUCUCCAGCUGUUUCAAAACUACAGCUCCCAUCAUGCCUGAAGCUUUGCAGUCAUGAUGAGAGUUGUAACUUUGCAGCAGCUGGAGAGCCACUUGAACCAAGAUGAUUUUAGACUAGGCAGCCCAGUUUAUUUUAAUGCUGUGACCCUAACCCAAAAAAAAAAAAAAAAUGGGCUGCAUAGUCAACACUAGACUCCCUCUGCAGAAGCAGCAACAGCUUCACACUAAAGUACAUGAUGAUAACGUUUUUGCAUCCUGUAAACCCCCCUGACAUGAAUGGCCCUCAAAGGGAUGUAAACCACCACCUGAAAAACCAGGUUAAGGCAUACCUAACCAGACCCCAUGGACUUCUGGGUCACCAGAUUACACUAUUGGUGAGAACUUGCCCAGUUUGCUAUGAGUGUGCUCUCUUGUCCACCCUCCACUGUAGCUUCAGAGAAAGUGUUCAGUGCGGCAGGUGGUGGCGUCACCCACAACAAGAUUGUUAGUGAGAACAGUGAGAUAUUUUAAACAUCCAGUGCCAGAUGCCACGGAUUAGACCAGUGUUUCCCAACCUUUUUCGGCUCGGGGCACCCCUCGCACAAAAAAAAUGUGCAAUGCACAAUAUCUAUUUAUCUGUGGGUAUGUAGAUUACAGUGCUGCUUUAUACAGCAACUCACAAAUGACAU